This 257-nucleotide ribosomal RNA is filed under the name uncultured bacterium. RNAcentral describes it as "partial 16S ribosomal RNA". The stretch from base 28 to 257 matches the Rfam family "Bacterial small subunit ribosomal RNA", at positions 548 to 776 of the family's 1533-position model. The record is from RNAcentral.
UACGUAGGGAUGGCAGCAGUGUUCGGUGAAUUACUGGGGCGUAAAGCGAGUGUAGGCGGUUUCCUAAGUCAGGUGUGAAAGCCCCGGGCUCAACCCGGGAAGUGCACUUGAAACUGGGAGGCUAGAGUAUCGGAGAGGUUGGUGGAAUUCUCGGUGUAGAGGUGAAAUUCGUAGAUAUCGAGAGGAACACCGGUGGCGAAGGCGGCCAACUGGACGAAUACUGACGCUGAGACUCGAAAGCGUGGGGAGCAAACAGG